Long non-coding RNA from Puntigrus tetrazona (Sumatra barb), 2254 nucleotides. RefSeq lists it as uncharacterized. Lineage: Eukaryota; Metazoa; Chordata; Actinopteri; Cypriniformes; Cyprinidae. The record is from RefSeq and is a predicted model, not a curated record. The transcript is spliced from 6 exons.
AACUGAAUAGUCAUAAAAAACAAUCUAUAAAAUGUAUGUUAAUUGUAUGUCAGUAAAUUGAUUGACAUAGCAGUGAUCGUCCAAUCGCGUUAGAUUGGAUCAGAAGCCCCGCCCACCACGUUAGCCGCUAAUGGUAGGCGCCAUUUUAGUUUUUCUCCUUGAGAUUCACGAGACGAGCAGCAAAAUAACAGAAGCAGAUAAAAGUUCCAAAAAAUUAAUCUUCCUUUGUUUAUUUCUUUGGAUUUUGAACAAUAACCACCUGAAGACACCCUGUAAUGAGAGAUCACCCUCCCAAUGAGUCUCUUCACUGGGUUUGACAAGUCGUUCCCUGUUUGUCGUGAAAAAACUUCAGAUGACGCCAGCCCUUGAGAGGACUUCAGAUGAGGCGGACUCUGAAUGGACAUACAAAACUGCUAAAUUUGCCUUGCAUUGUAACCAACUUGAUCACAUCAUGUAACCAAACAAAACAUACAAGAUGUAUAUCUAUCUCAACAGGCUUAACUUACCUUGGUAAAAGACGUUAUAUAACAAACAUGGACUUUUACCAUGGUAACGUCAGCCUAAAAUACGUUAAAGCAGUUCAGACACCAGUUCUAGUUCCUCCUGCCACAUCAGACUCUGCUGUAUAUAUGGAGACCCUUCAUGUUGUGUGCUUUUCAUUAUUGUGCAUGCAGUUAUAAUUCAGGUAUGUGAACAUGAACAAUGGCCGUACCGUCUUUGAAUAUACCAGGCCUUUUAAUUGGUUAAUUGCAGUUGAGGUAAAAAUGAAUUUUUUUAUUAUUAUUUUUUUCUUCCAAUUGAGCUCCAACCGGUUAACAAACUAAUCACACGUUUUGGAACAGUAAGAUUUAUGUUUGUUUGUUUUUAUUUUGUUCAUUUAUUUGAUCCUAAUAGUAACUUUUUUUAAAAAAUGUAAAUAUAUUUGUAAAAAUAUAUAAAAUUUCGAAAUAUUUGGUGAGCAGAAGAGACCUCUUCUAAACUAAAUCAUCUACUGAAUGUUAAGUAAAGUUUCUAUGUUCUGGGUUUUUUUUAAUAUACAAACACACUGCCUGUAAACUGAUUUGCAUGAGUUUUGAUUGAAUGCAACCAAAGAGUGUUCAUUUUGUCAAGCGAUUAUAUAAAAGAGGCUGCGGUUAUUCCUAGUUUACGCAUUUUGUGUAAAUGGCUCUCAUAUAAUUUCAGGCAUACGCUAAGCAGAAGUUUCAGGACCGUUCAAAGGAUUAUGCGUUCUUCUUUCGUGUGGUCGCAAUGUGGUAAGUUAUUUACUUUGACAGUCUUGCAAUACGUAAAGAAAAUGUGGGGUAAUUGUAAUGUCUGCUAAAUUAGUCCCAAAAAGGCUGCGUCUCAUUUACAAUAACAAAGUCAGUAUCAUCUGAUCUACUUGUUACAUCUAAGAAGUAUGGCAUCUUUGCUAAUAUUAGUCUGUUUUAUUCUUAUUCCGAGGUCACUGGAUCAAGUCUGUAUCCAGAUCAGAUGGUGGAGACAACUCUACAGACCUGAAUGUGAGCAGAGACCGUGUCAACUAGAUGAGCCCCAAAGACAGAUCCCCAGUGAAGACCUCAUUAACUAUACAGCCAUUGACACCAAACCUCAGCAAAGACCACAAUGACAAACACCAUGUUGCUUCAUCUGGACAGGUUCUUCUCCAUUCUUGGCUUGCUUAAUUUGGGACAAUUCAUUUUUGGGUGUAUUAACGACUUAAUUGCCGAGACACUGAAGGUAAGUGAACUGAGCUGGAUGAUUAUGACAUCACUGAAUCAACGAUGAUCUGUAUUGUGUGAAGUGCUAUAUAUAUAUAUAACCUAGGGUUUGUCAAAAGAAGUAUGUCCGUAUGUACAAUAUGUACACAUCCCUCCGGAAGCAGUACCGCCAGACGCAAAUACUGCUUCCUCAAGCCGGGGCGCAAGACGCUACACGAGGCCUGCUCGCCCCGCAAGACGCAAAGGUGAGAGGAGGGAUGAAGAGACGCCAACUGGAGCGGUCCUACAAGAGGGCCUGAAACAAAACGGAAAGAGAACGGGUCGGACCUUUUGGUUCCUUCCCACCAGUAAUGAAUUCUUUAUAGCCGGUCUCAGGUUCCCUACCAUAAACCAGCUGUGGAACACGAUUUGCCCCAAACCAAGUCUCCGGAUGGGCUUUUCUUGGAGGAGAGCCCCGAGGAGGUCACAGCAUUCUGUGCAGGCCAGGUUUGGACCAGCGCUUCUUCUGCAGCAGCAACAGGUCAUGGUCGCUAGGGAAGUGUCCACACAACAGU